Molecule: ribosomal RNA, 482 nt
Filed under: uncultured organism
Description: bacterial SSU rRNA
Rfam family: Bacterial small subunit ribosomal RNA
Source: RNAcentral
GAUGAACGCUGGCGGCGUGCCUAACACAUGCAAGUCGAACGAAGAACCAAUGACGAAGUUUUCGGACAACUGAUUUGGUUUCUUAGUGGCGGACGGGUGAGUAACGCGUGAGUAACCUGCCUCGGAGUGGGGAAUAACAGCUGGAAACAGUUGCUAAUACCGCAUGAUGCAGCGAGAGGACAUCCUCUUGCUGCCAAAGAUUUAUCGCUCUGAGAUGGACUCGCGUCUGAUUAGCUAGUUGGCGGGGUAAUGGCCCACCAAGGCGACGAUCAGUAGCCGGACUGAGAGGUUGACCGGCCACAUUGGGACUGAGAUACGGCCCAGACUCCUACGGGAGGCAGCAGUGGGGAAUAUUGGGCAAUGGGCGAAAGCCUGACCCAGCAACGCCGCGUGAAGGAAGAAGGCCCUCGGGUUGUAAACUUCUUUUAUCAGGGACGAAAAAAAUGACGGUACCUGAUGAAUAAGCCACGGCUAACUACGUG